Molecule: ribosomal RNA, 253 nt
Filed under: uncultured bacterium
Lineage: Bacteria
Description: partial 16S ribosomal RNA
Rfam family: Bacterial small subunit ribosomal RNA
Source: RNAcentral
UACGUAGGUGGCGAGCGUUAUCCGGAAUCAUUGGGCGUAAAGAGGGAGCAGGCGGCCUGGAGGGUCUAUUGUUAAAAGGCAGUGGCUUAACCAUUGCAAGGCGAAGAAACCGGCAGGCUAGAGUUCUAAAGAGGAUCGUGGAAUUCCAUGUGUAGCGGUGAAAUGCGUAGAUAUAUGGAGGAACACCAGUGGCGAAGGCGACGAUCUGGGAAGAAACAGACGCUGAGUCCCGAAAGCGUGGGGAGCAAAUAGG